AUCAAAAUGCAUCUAUGGUCUG
This 22-nucleotide small nuclear RNA is filed under the name Arabidopsis thaliana (thale cress). RNAcentral's name for it is "snRNA_17333". The record is from RNAcentral. Lineage: Eukaryota; Viridiplantae; Streptophyta; Magnoliopsida; Brassicales; Brassicaceae.